Molecule: long non-coding RNA, 889 nt
Organism: Canis lupus familiaris (dog)
Lineage: Eukaryota; Metazoa; Chordata; Mammalia; Carnivora; Canidae
Exons: 4
Source: RefSeq, a predicted model, not a curated record
GGUACUAUGACCCUCACUGGGAGGUGGGGGGUGGGAGUGGUGGCAUGAGCUGGGAGAUACAUGAAGCCCAAGAAAAGUACCCUGGAACAUUAAUCUCUCACCAAAAGCGCACAAGCAACAGGCUUUUUGUAUGCAACAAAGUUGUGCAUGGUACCUCUGAUUUGAAAUAUUCCACCAAAAGCACAAAUAUGUUUCUUUUUUCCCCUCUUCAAUGAGAAAUGUUUCCAAACGACCUGAAAACAAGAUGUAAUUUUGGGACAUGUAGUCAGGUGAAGAGGUUGUACUCAUUUUCUUCUCCUCCUAACUAAAAUCACACCUGUCCCAUGAACAAGCCUCCUCUGCAUGACUCCGGAACACUCCAGCACUGGUGACUAUGGACAUCUACCAUACGUUUGACAGAAUGCUAAGCACGGCACAGUCAUCACAUUCAAGGUUCCCUGCAACCUGUGAGGCACAUGCAAAUGGAAUAAUAUUCUCUCCACUGAACAUUGCUGCUUCCUGGACCUUCUAAAGCUCAAGCCAAACUCCUCUUUUUGUUUUUAAGAGACAUUGCCUCACACAAAGAAUAUAUUAAACAUUGAUCUUGAGCAAGAGCAUUCAAGAGCAAAUUGGGAUCCAGGCUAUUUUCAGCUGGGACAACCAUUUCCUUCCAGCUUCACUUGAAGAUCAGAUGUUUGACUCUUCCAGGAAUCAAGGUGAAGAAGGAUAAACAUGCAAGUUUGAAGAAAAAGAAAAAAAGCAACCCAACUUGUGUUUUCUACAGCAUAACUGUCAACAUCCUGCUGGAAGUUCAAAUUAAGAAACAUCAAGGAAGCAUUUCAUAUAAACUGAAUAAAACGCAGAUGACUCAGUCAUCCAUGCAGCUUUGAGUGGAGUGGGCUGUUGUGCA